AAAUUACCUUCUGAAAUAAUUGUGUACUUUUGGACUUGUUGGAUAUAAAAUAGUUGCAGAUGAAAAUACAAUUCAGUUCACGUUUCUCAUUGACAAGUAGCAGCCUUGGCAAAUAGAGAGCAGUACUUAGAAGAUGUUUGUCAAAUUGUCACUGAUACUUUUGAUCUCUCUCGUAUCAUCAGAAGAAACUGAUGACCGGCAAAAAAGAUCAUUGCAACCAGGCGCACCAAAUGUAAAUAUUGGAAACAAAGACCAACCCUGGCAGUUUGAUCCCAAUGUUGCUCGAGAUGAACAUGGAAAUGUCGUCACCGACUUGAAAAUCAAAAACCAUGGAGAAAAUCACGAUUUUCACGCUGGAUGGAACAAAGUCGUUAGGGGUCCAAGUAGAGCUAAGCCCACUUGGAAUGUUGGGGGUACUUUCAGAUGGUAGUUUAUGUAGUUCAGUAAUUUAUUUUUAGUAACUUAUAAUACUGUGAUAGUGCCAUAUUUUUUCUAAAAUAAAUAUUUUUCCGUA
Leptinotarsa decemlineata (Colorado potato beetle) is the source of this 514-nucleotide long non-coding RNA. The record is from RefSeq and is a predicted model, not a curated record. Lineage: Eukaryota; Metazoa; Arthropoda; Insecta; Coleoptera; Chrysomelidae.